GUCUCGUCACGUGACUCGCGAGAUUUUUCGAUAAUAUUAACUUCCAGGUACCUCACACAUGGAGAUGUGUAUUGGGUUAUGCAUGUUUAUGGUUUACACAAAGCGUAUAAGGAAAGUUUAAGCAGUUGUACAAAGCCGAAGGGUUCUCCGACUUACGAUGGAUAAAUUGAGGGUCGUAAAAGCUUGGGUGCGAGCAAGUAGGAGGAGAAUUUCGAUCGAAGUACAGAUUUUUCUUGAAUUCGAGGAUAAUGAUGUUAUUACCAGCUGAUUAAGGAGGAGUAGUGUAAGUGUCAGAUGGGUACGAACGUCAUCUUGUGACAGCAUCACCUUUGUUUGGCUAAAAUACAAGAGAACUGCAGCAUCUAAGACUACAUGUACAUCGACUUUGAAUAAUUUACCCGGUAUAUCCUCAAAAAGGCAACUUAA
Long non-coding RNA from Saccostrea echinata, 426 nucleotides. RefSeq lists it as uncharacterized. The record is from RefSeq and is a predicted model, not a curated record. The transcript is spliced from 3 exons. Lineage: Eukaryota; Metazoa; Mollusca; Bivalvia; Ostreida; Ostreidae.